GUGUCAGGUGUUUCAAUGGCAGGAUGAGGGUAGACAAUGGUGGGAUGGGGAUAAGGUGCUAUUUUUGAGAAGACAGCCAGAGAAAGCCUCUUUGGGAAACCACGUUUGAAGAGAUAAAGUUCCUAAGUGUUAAGGGAAUGAAGAAGCAAUCCAUGAAAAUAUCCAGGGGAGGAGUGCUCCAGGCAGAGAGGUCAGCAAAUGUGGAGUUCUCUUGCUCUAAGGAAAGCCAGCUGCCAUGUCAUGAGGAAAUUCAAGCAGCCAAGGGAGAGCCCACCUGCUUAGGAAUUGGAGCCUCCUGCCAAUAGCCAGAGAGAAACAGAGAUCUUCAUUGAUGGUGAACAGCCAUGUCAAUGAACUAUUUUGGAAGUUGAUCUUUCAGUCAAGCUUUCAGAUGACAUCUCUUUCUUUUUCCCAUUUUAAAAAUUGUGG
This 429-nucleotide long non-coding RNA is filed under the name Papio anubis (olive baboon). RNAcentral's name for it is "lncRNA (ENSPANG00000043781.1)". The record is from RNAcentral. Lineage: Eukaryota; Metazoa; Chordata; Mammalia; Primates; Cercopithecidae.